GAAACCUCCUGUGAUCUGGCUGUGACGGCUGUCACCCCGUUGAUUCGGCUGAUCUGGCUGGCUAAGCGGUGUCCUCUUCCUCCUCACCACUCCAUGUGCAUCCCUCCUGAAGCUGUGUGCUCGGGUGAAGAAUGACCUUCCCCGAUAGAAGGAGGGCUGUCCUUCGGUCAAGAGUAUCUGAGUCGCUGCACUCCCCUGCUAGAACCUCCAAAUAAGCCUCAAAAAACAAACCAGCUCUUUUAAAAGAUGCUCCUUAAAAAAAAAUCAUCUCUAUGGAACUAAAUGGUGAACAAUCAU
This 297-nucleotide small nuclear RNA is filed under the name Echinops telfairi (small Madagascar hedgehog). Its description in RNAcentral is "7SK RNA (ENSETEG00000024418.1)". It matches the Rfam family "7SK RNA". Rfam says of the family: 7SK was discovered as an abundant small nuclear RNA in the mid-70s but a possible function has only recently been suggested. Lineage: Eukaryota; Metazoa; Chordata; Mammalia; Afrosoricida; Tenrecidae. The record is from RNAcentral.